GACGAACGCUGGCGGCGUGCUUAACACAUGCAAGUCGAACGGAAAGGCCCUGCUUUUGUGGGGUGCUCGAGUGGCGAACGGGUGAGUAACACGUGAGUAACCUGCCCUUGACUUUGGGAUAGCUUCAGGAAACUGGGGCUAAUAUCGGAUAGGAGCUCCUGCUGCAUGGUGGGGGUUGGAAAGUUUCGGCUGUCGGGGAUGGACUCGCGGCUUAUCAGCUUGUUGGUGGGGGAGUGGAUUACCAAGGGUUUGACGGGUAGCCCGCCUGAGAGGGUGGCCGGGCACAAGAGGACUACGAGAGGGAGCAGACGCGAACAGGGGGCAGCAGGGGGGAAUAUGGCACAAUGGGAGGAAGCCGGAGGCAGCAACGCCGCGUGCGGGAUGACGGCCUUCGGGGUGUAAACAGCUUUCGCCUGUGACGAAGCGUGAGUGACGGUAAUGGGUAAAGAAGCACCGGCUAACUACGUG
This 468-nucleotide ribosomal RNA is filed under the name uncultured bacterium. RNAcentral's name for it is "partial 16S ribosomal RNA". It matches the Rfam family "Bacterial small subunit ribosomal RNA", at positions 28 to 507 of the family's 1533-position model. The record is from RNAcentral.